GAUGAAGAACGUAGCGAACUGCGAUAAGUAAUGUGAAUUGCAGAAUUCAGUGAAUCAUCGAGUCUUUGAACGCACAUUGCGCCCCCUGGCAUUCCGGGGGGCAUGCCUGUCCGAGCGUCAUUGCUGCCCUUCAAGCCCGGCUUGUGUGUUGGGUCGUCGUCCCCCCCGGGGGACGGGCCCGAAAGGCAGCGGCGGCACCGCGUCCGGUCCUCGAGCGUAUGGGGCUUUGUCACCCGCUCGAUUAGGGCCGGCCGGGCGCCAGCCGGCGUCUCCAACCUUCUAUUUUACCAGGUUGACCUCGGAUCAGGUAGGGAUACCCACUGAACUUAAGCAUAUCAAUAAGCGGAGGA
This 350-nucleotide unclassified non-coding RNA is filed under the name soil metagenome. Its description in RNAcentral is "partial contains 5.8S ribosomal RNA, internal transcribed spacer 2, and large subunit ribosomal RNA". The stretch from base 1 to 120 matches the Rfam family "5.8S ribosomal RNA", at positions 35 to 154 of the family's 154-position model. The record is from RNAcentral.